AAUCAAAUAGCUAAGACAAUGGUCAUCCAAUUCCGAUUCCAAAGGUCACAGGUUCGAAUCCUGUCGGGUGCGCCA
This 75-nucleotide transfer RNA is filed under the name Aliirhizobium cellulosilyticum. RNAcentral describes it as "Rhizobium cellulosilyticum tRNA-OTHER". The record is from RNAcentral. Lineage: Bacteria; Pseudomonadati; Pseudomonadota; Alphaproteobacteria; Hyphomicrobiales; Rhizobiaceae.